GUCAACGAGAAUAAGAAGCGUAUCCUGUCAAAGUCAAUGUGAUGAAGAAAGGAAAAGCACACAAAACCACAUGAACAGUAGCAGAGAUCUUCUAUAUAAGCCAGUAUAUACAACAUUCAAUUCUAGGUUCUUCUUUAUAAACAGAAUAAUUACUUAUGUAUUGUCUAGCUCCUUUCAUAUUCUUAAUGCGUAAUAAGCAUGAGAACUUUUAAUUUUCAUUUAUAUUUCAUGCUAGAGCCUUCAAUUAUUAUAAAAGAAACAGUCAUUUGCAAAUACAAUUCGGUCACAUUAGUUGUUACUAAGACCGCAUAUUCUCAAAAGACAGUAACAUAUAACGUGCCCAAUCCUUCAUGACUAGUCAGCCAACUGAAAAACCUGAUCAAGAGCAUCUUCUAAUUGAAAGCUUACCAGUCUUUGUCAUUUCAAGAGGAGAUAUCCUUGCAGUAUAAUAUGUACCCCUUGUGCUAAGUUCCUGAACGCUGAAUCUGCACAAGCCUUCAAGGACAACUGUAUAGGUAA
Molecule: long non-coding RNA, 519 nt
Organism: Cannabis sativa
Lineage: Eukaryota; Viridiplantae; Streptophyta; Magnoliopsida; Rosales; Cannabaceae
Exons: 2
Source: RefSeq, a predicted model, not a curated record